UACGUAGGGGGCAAGCGUUGUCCGGAAUCAUUGGGCGUAAAGAGCGCGUAGGCGGCCCUGUAAGUCCGCUGUGAAAGUCAAGGGCUCAACCCUUGGAUGCCGGUGGAUACUGCAGGGCUAGAGUCCGGAAGAGGCGAGUGGAAUCCUGGUGUAGCGGUGAAAUGCGCAGAUAUCAGGAGGAACACCGGUGGCGAAGGCGGUUCUCUGGGCCUUACCUGACGCUGAGGAGCGAAAGCGUGGGUAGCGAACAG
RNAcentral lists this ribosomal RNA (251 nucleotides) under uncultured bacterium. RNAcentral describes it as "partial 16S ribosomal RNA". It matches the Rfam family "Bacterial small subunit ribosomal RNA", at positions 524 to 775 of the family's 1533-position model. The record is from RNAcentral.